CUUGGUAGCAAUUGGUAACAAUUGGCAUUUAAUUGGACAGCGCAAUGUACGGUGUUGCUAUUACUUCUUUGUGACAGUAUUUUGGUAAAACUAUUGACCGCAUAACUUCUGGUACUAACGAAAAAAAAUCAAACUUGACAUUUCUUAUGACAAUCUGAAAUUUUUUCACUAUCCUCGAUUUGUGGAAAAUGAAUUUCCUAGCCGGGAAUCUAUCGAAAUACAGUAAAGCGAUAUUUAAGACUACACCAACUCGAGAAGGAAUUCAAUUUCUUACAAUAAAAUAUCCGAAACCAGCAGUAAAGAAAUACCAACCACCUCCAGUAACACAACCGAGGAAACAGCUAAAACGACUCGUAACGGGCCACAUGAGAGUGGAAGCAGGAUAUGACCAAGGUGCAAGAAUUUUAAGUUAUUUUCAGUAUUAAUAAAAUGUAACCGAGGUU
Molecule: long non-coding RNA, 443 nt
Organism: Papilio polytes (common Mormon)
Lineage: Eukaryota; Metazoa; Arthropoda; Insecta; Lepidoptera; Papilionidae
Exons: 2
Source: RefSeq, a predicted model, not a curated record